RNAcentral lists this ribosomal RNA (499 nucleotides) under uncultured bacterium. RNAcentral's name for it is "partial 16S ribosomal RNA". It matches the Rfam family "Bacterial small subunit ribosomal RNA", at positions 28 to 507 of the family's 1533-position model. The record is from RNAcentral.
GACGAACGCUGGCGGCGUGCCUAAUACAUGCAAGUCGAGCGAAGUUUUUCUGGUGCUUGCACCGGAAAAACUUAGCGGCGAACGGGUGAGUAACACGUAAAGAACCUGCCUCAUAGACUGGGACAACUAUUGGAAACGAUAGCUAAUACCGGAUAAUAGCAUUAACUGCAUGGUUGAUGUUUAAAAGUUCGUUUUGCUAACACUAUGAGAUGGCUUUGCGGUGCAUUAGCUAGUUGGUGGGGUAAAGGCCUACCAAGGCGACGAUGCAUAGCCGACCUGAGAGGGUGAUCGGCCACACUGGGACUGAGACACGGCCCAGACUCCUACGGGAGGCAGCAGUAGGGAAUCUUCCGCAAUGGGCGAAAGCCUGACGGAGCAACGCCGCGUGAGUGAAGAAGGAUUUCGGUUCGUAAAGCUCUGUUGUUAGGGAAGAAUGAUUGUGUAGUAACUAUACACAGUAGAGACGGUACCUAACCAGAAAGCCACGGCUAACUACGUG